GCUGCAGAAGAAGCACCGGCUAACUCCGUGCCAGCAGCCGCGGUAAUACGGAGGGUGCGAGCGUUAAUCGGAAUUACUGGGGCGUAAAAGCGCAUGCAGGUGGUUUGUUAAGUCAGAUGUGAAAGCCCGGGGCUCAACCUCGGAAUUGCAUUUGAAACUGGCAAACUAGAGUACUGUAGAGGGGGUAGGAAUUUCAGGUGUAGCGGUGAAAUAGCGUAGAGAUCUGAAGGAAUACCGGUGGCGAAGGCGGCCCCCUGGACCAGAUAACUGACACUCAGAUGCGAAAGACGUGGGGAGGCAAACAGGAUUAGAUACCCUCGGUAG
Molecule: ribosomal RNA, 324 nt
Filed under: uncultured bacterium
Lineage: Bacteria
Description: bacterial SSU rRNA
Rfam family: Bacterial small subunit ribosomal RNA
Source: RNAcentral